Parus major (Great Tit) is the source of this 8264-nucleotide RNA transcript. It is a transcript of the gene named proteasome 20S subunit beta 2, with no coding region annotated. The record is from RefSeq and is a predicted model, not a curated record. The transcript is spliced from 8 exons. NCBI's taxonomy places the organism in Eukaryota, Metazoa, Chordata, Aves, Passeriformes, Paridae.
GUGGGCCGGGCAGGGCCGGGCCGCGCUGUGUCACGGCCAUGGAGUACCUGAUCGGCAUCCAGGGCCCCGAUUACGUCCUGGUGGCCGCUGACACCGUGGCGGCCACCAGCAUCAUCCAGAUGAAGCACGACCAUGAGAAAAUGUUUAAGAUGAGUGAAAAGAUCUUACUGCUGUGUGUUGGGGAGCCUGGAGACACAGUGCAGUUUGCAGAAUACAUCCAGAAGAAUGUUCAGCUCUACAAAAUGAGAAAUGGUUAUGAGUUGUCUCCCACUGCAGCUGCAAACUUCACCCGGCGAAACCUUGCAGACUAUCUCCGGAGUCGAACCCCUUACCAUGUGAACCUUCUCCUGGCUGGCUACGAUGACCACGAGGGCCCUGCCCUGUACUACAUGGAUUACCUGGCAGCUCUGGCUAAAGCCCCUUUUGCAGCACAUGGAUAUGGAGCAUUCCUUACCCUCAGCAUCCUUGACCGCUAUUACAAGCCAGGUAUCACACGUGAGGAAGCUAUGGAGCUCUUAAAAAAAUGUCUAGAGGAGGUUUCUUGUCUCAUUUCAAACUCAUCACUGCAGAGGGGCUGAGCUGAUGUGGUAUUUUUGUCACUGCAUAUUGAAGCAGUGAUGCCGCUUCAUUGGAGGGAUUCAUUGUUCAGACACUGAACUGGAGUGUGGAGCUCUUGGAUGAUGUGAACCUGGCAGAGAAUCUGCCUGGAGUUUUUAUUGGCACCUAUUUGAAUGCAGAUCAGCUGUGGUCACAGAACUCAAGGAGAGAGGACCAGAGCCUUGUCCAGCAGGCAGGUGGGAUAAAGGAAGAUAGCCAGUGACUUGCCAAAAACCCAACAGCUUCCAGAAUAUCUGGAAUCCAUCCUGUCCUAGUUUGUCCAAGCACUGACAAGCAGGGAUGUGAAGUUAAGGUAAGUCUUCUGGUUUUUUAGGAUAUUACAAUUCUCCCUUGCAGAGCUACUCUGGACAUUUACUGCUGUGUGCUUGCAAUGAGGAUGCUCACAAGAUUUUAUCAGCAGCUGUGCCAGGGAGGAAAAUCUCCUGCACCACACGGUACUGUUUUCAAAGGACUUUCUGUGAUCCCACAGAAAAUUUGCUGAAGAAAAAAAAAAUCAGGCAAAGUCUGCAAUGGUCUGGAAUGUGGGAUAUCACAACCCAUUCAUUUGCUCCCUCCCAACAAGCCUGCAGUGUGCAGAGGCUGUGGCUCAAGGGUGGUAUUGUGGGCCUGGCUGGAGCAGAAAAUGCACUUGUCUGUGUAAUUAAAAUGCCCCCAAUUGGAUUAUAUGGGAAUCAGAAACUUUAAAGUACAUAGCCAGACUCUGACAUGAGAAUUAGGAAAACAUUUCCAAAGCUGUCAGCUCAUUUGGUGGUUUUCCUUUUUUUGGACAGCAGUUUCUUGUAUAUUUGAAAAUUUUGUUACUGGGCAAGGCUGAGUUUGGGAUAUGAAAGGAUUUCCAGGGUUUACUUAUUCCUUACUUUCUCUGAUUUAAAAUUAUACAGUUUAAACCUGUUUCUCUUUUCUUUUUUCUUUUUUUCUUUUUUUUUAAUAAUCCUUAAACUCACAUAAUUCUUAGUGGACACCUUCAAGAAGAGAAGAAUUAAAAGAGGGGUUUGAUUUAAUUUGUCUUACAGUGUUCACUCAAUGCACAUGAGAAAUCUGCCUAGGGUGUCAUGCUGGGGGCUUUGCUUGGGCAUAUCCAAUAGUCCAAGGUUUUUGUGUUGGUUUUUGCCUUGGGAUUGAUGUGCUGUGAUGAACCAGGGGAAGGCUGGUUGUGUGAGCUCCAUGUCCCCUGUUCACAUAAGCCAGGAGAGGAUUUGAGGUUGACCCUUCCUAUGUGUUUAGGAGCUGUGAAGCCACACAGUUACAGUUUUGGUUUCCAUGUUUGCAUCAAAAUUUACAGGGUACUAAAGCAAAAGAUUCUUUAUGUUCAAAAGCUGUGAAAAAGUUUAUUAACACAUGGAAUUGGUAGAAAACAUUUUUGCCCCAAGCUGAGCUGAACGGAGCUAUUUUUCCUCACAAGAUUUUCUGAAUUACUCCUUGGCUCAGCAGGUUCAAAGGCACUGACAACUUUUUUUUUUAGGAAUGCUUUAAAACAGAAAUGUUCCUUAAUUUUUUUUAGCAUUCCAGCUAAGUUUUCUGCUUUACCAGGUAAGACCUUUGUAUUCUCUAAAUGGUCCAUAUGCCAAAUGUUCUGAAAGAUGAUCCAUUGGGUUUUCCCAUCUCUUGGGCCUUCCUCACUUUCCUGGGGAGAGCUGAAUGCUUCAAUUUGCUUGAAACUUUCCCCUUUGCCCUGUGCUCUGACAAGGCAAGGAUGGGCUGUGGAUGCCCUGUGCCCGUUUUUGCUCUGGAGAACUUUGGAGAAGUUUUUUUUUCAAGAAGUUUUGUGCCAAAUCUCAUCUUCCUCACAAAGAGAACCUGAAUGGGGCCAAGCCAGGGCUGUCUGUGCUACAGGACAGGUCUCAUCUCUCAUGGUGAUUACUGUGUGCUCCUGGAGGAUCUCUGUGAUGACCAAAUUAGCAGGAAACUCCAAAAGCCAUAAUCUGUAAUAUAUAAUGCAUAAUGUGCUGCUGCCAUAUGACAGGACUGGGAGAGGAAAUGAAAUGAAAAUGGGUCAGGAGUGGGAGGCCUGGGCUGAAAUAAUUCCCUGUGGUGCCAGGGUCCAUUUAAGAGGCAAAACAGCAGCACAUUACCAAGAGGGUGUAAGAAAGGUUGUUUUCAUAGUCCAAACUGAGCAAACUGGCCCUUCCACUAGCGUUCUCCUCCUCAGCAGUGCCUGCACCCUCUGUGUCCUGCCUCCCUGCUGGAAUGUUUUUGCAGGUAGUGAAGUAGAACAGAGAUUCUGAAAGGAGAAUUUUUUAUCACUGGAAAUAAAAUUAUAAACAUACUGAUUAUAUCUUUAAAACAGACUGUUGAAACAAAUGUUGGGGGAUUUUUGUAGUUAUGAUGCUCGAGUUGAUUUAUCUGUGGUUGAAUCCAAACCGUUUCCUAAACUCCCCACAUCCCUUCAGCUCUUUGUGUCACAUCUGUUUUCAAUGAGGUGCAGGUAACUGUUUCCUUUGUAAACUUACCUACUGAAAUAGAAAUUUGCAGGUAAGACAUUUGAGCACAGGGUCUAAUACAAUGAGGAUUUGAUGUUUGAUGGCACAACAAGGUACUGUGGGAACAUAAACAUAACCCUCCUGAAACAGAGACAGAUAUUUGGAUUGGAUAAAAUGUUUCCAUAGGAAUUGCUCCUUUUUUUGAAAGUUUUUGCUGCAUGCUGAGAAAAAAAAAAAAUCUCUCUGAAAAAGCGACAUCCCUGGAAUACCCAAUCUGCACAGGAAUCUGGUCAUAAUGCCAUGCAGCUGCCAAUGAGGUCUUCAACAUAUGGUGAAACUCUCAUAAUUCCUGAAUAAAGGCACUCAGCAUUUCAGCCACUGAUGUUCUGAAUCUCAUCCAAUAAAAGAAUCCAUGGAUCCACUUUGAUCAGGCAUGUGACAAAGGAAAAGUUUGACUGGAAGACCUUGAAUGUCCUGUGGGAAGAAUGUGUGAUUUACUUAUAGCAUGUGUUUAAGGAUAAAUCCAAGAUGUUGUUGCAGAAUUAGCUGAAACUUCUCGGUUGUGUGAGAUAACAUAGAAUCACAGAGAACACAUGGAAUUUUGGGCCAGAGGAAGAUGAUGGACCCGUUAUUUUUUGUUGGGCGCAAGUUGUUCAGUUACACCAAGAAAAUGCUGCGUCUUGGGGAUUUUUUAGUGAAUGUAAAGUUCUAAAUGUGGAAAAACUCAAUAAGAAUUUAAGACACUUUUGCGCAGCAGAGACAUUGUCAAGUGAGAAGCUGCAGCAUCCAGACACAUCUUGAGGUGCUGCAGAACUUCUUGGCUUGGAGCAAUUAAUUGAUUUUUCUCUGAAUUCAUUUCACACCCCAAAAAAAGCUGAGUUGUCUCCAUUUAACAUUUUCUUUGGCUAUAACCUUUGCUACUAAAACAAAGGUAUCCUGAUGAGAAAUCCAUCUGGAUCUCAGGAAUUUAGCUUUUUCUCUGCUGAAAAUAAUCAAAUUAGAAGCAUCUGAGGAUGUCAGUAUAAAAACAUACAAAGGAACCAUCCAGGACUUCACUGUCAUAAUAUUUCCUGCCUUGGAAAAAAUCUGGGAUGCUUCAGCACCAUGAUUAUGGGGGCAAAGUUUGGGUAGAUGUUCAGUUUCUGGAAUUAUAUUUGCUAUUUAUCGUAUCCUAUUGGAAAUGCUCAGAUAGCCACAGUAGGAAUUAUUUUCCAUAUAAAGGAGCUGAGGUGGGAAGACCAAAGUGAUAACUUGUGGCUCAGCAUGGCUGCAUUCUGGUUGAGGGCUAGGUCAGACUCUUUCUGCCAACUGUGUUUGGAUCAUGAAGGCUCUACAUCCUGCACAUGGACAGGGAGAGCAGAGUCUACACCAAUAAUCUCAGGAGCAUCAUGUCACCCUCACAAAAAACAUUUAUUUUAAUGUGUGACUUGAAAAUGUUUCCAGUGUUGGUGCUUUGAUUCAGCUGCACCACCAGGAAAAACUUACCUUGCUCACUGGCUGUGUGGCUCUUUGGAUUCCACAUGUAAAGCUGGGAAUUUAAUGGAUUCUCCUAUAGGAAGGAAUGCAUUAACUACAGGUCAGCAAACUCUGGUUAUUGGGUUGUUUCACACCGAGAGCUGUUAUUACCCUGUUGCUUUUAAGGUGCCUGUUUAAAGGUAAUUAUUUAGUCUGUCCAAAGCCGUGUGGAAUUCCAACACAACCUCUGUUCCCUGGUGUUAAUGAUGCAGCACAGUCACAGCUCCAUGUUACCCUUGGUUUGCCCUUGGGACAGCUGACUCUUAGGGAUUGAAGAGUUUCUCUCUUUUUCACUUGUCAAGGAUUAGUAUGUGGUUUCCCUAGAUUUGUAAUUCAUUCAAAAUUAAUCCAAAAAAGAUUUAUUUUUUUUUGUUUCAUUCCCCUUUAGAAUUAAAAUUCCAGCGUGUUUUGUAACAACCGUAGAAACCCUGAGUCUGGAUCUAUUUUUAUUUGUUGACACAAUCCUAUGUAUUUUCCCACAAUGAGAUUUGUAAUCAGCAUGGGAAUUUAUACCAGGGUUGAGCCUGGAAUUGUGUAAAAUGUUUUUUUUUCUCUUAGGAUGGAAAGGGAGAGGACAUGUCAGGGGAUGGUCUUGUUUGACAGAGAGCUGGGAGGAGACUCCAGUACAGACAAGAAUUGGCCUUCCACGACCCCUGACUCUUCUGAAGUGUCUCUGUGGGCCUGCAGGAAUGAGUAUGUCCAAAAUUUUGGGAAGUCUUGAUGUUUUAGAAAAUUGCUCCUAUGUGGUGUGUCCGUUACUCAUCUUGAGCAUCUGAUCAACAAGUGAAUCCAAAUCAUGCAACUUCCUCCCACUCACAGGUCAUUGGAGAUGUCCUGGCCUUUCAGGCACCAGACUUUUCCUCAUAAAACAUUCCAUAGACUUGAAGGUACCCAAAAAGGAAAAUGAGGAGGGAGGUGUUGUCCACCCCAUGGAUGUGGUAUGUAAUUACUGAAGGCAGAUCCUGAUUCUCUGUCUGCAUUGCUCAUCCAUGCUGUGUCUAAGAAUUCCUUGAUAUUCAAAGUGCCCCAGCCAAGCCAGGUUUGCAUAAUGUGAUUAAAUUAGGAAAUGAUAUUUCAUGCCUGGAUAUUACAGUGCACGCACACACACUUUCAUCCUGUGUUGGAGCGUCACUUGCUCUGCUCUGAUACCGUGCACCAGAGGAUGUCUGCAAAUGGAAUUAUUUCAGGAUAGUUAUCCUAAAUAACUCUAUGUAGGGAAACCUGUAUUGUAGCACAAAAGCACCUUACUCUCCUUUAUCAUAAUCUAUUUAAAUGUGGAUUAUGCUGAUGCAAAACAGGGUGCUCCUACUUUGGAAUAAUUUUAAAUAGGAAUAAUUUUUGUGCUUUUGGCUCACACCCUACAUUAUCCAAACUGACUUUGAAGUGUAAACAAGCCUCUGAUGUGAUGUGUAGUAUUUCCAUUCUGCUCCCCGAUUCCUCCUUGUUUCUUGAUUCUUUCUUUGGGAAGGUCCAGAGCAAAACCAGACCUGCAGAGCCCGUCAUUUAGGUCUUUGCUUUCACAAACCUCAUACCAAGGGAUGUUUCCAAUCCAUUUCCAUAUUUUAAUGCCUCUCUAAGCUUUGAAGGGAAUAUUUAGAUGCCAGUUUCUGAUGCUGAGCCAUCCCCACAGAUUCUAUUAGGACAUUAAAUGUUUCCUUUCACACUUUCCUGAAAUGGAGGUUUGUGUUUCAAACCUCCUGUGGUCUCUUUCGGGACUGUUUGAGGUUUUCCCUCUAUUACCAUCAGCCUAUUCUGCACCUCCAGAGAAACCUGUGGGGUGCAGCUCUGAGAAGGGUCCAAUGCAGGGAGUGCUGCCAUAGCUCAGUCCCUCCAUCUGCCUCUUUGUGAGGAGCAAGGAUGUGUAGUGAAGACAGCAAGGAGGCUCCCUAAAAUCACCCUCUUCCAUUGUGUCAAAAGUCAUUUUUACAUCUGUUCCCAUGAAAAGUCACAGCUUCUUACCUGAGGCAGGUAAGACUUACUUAAACGUGCUUUCUGACCAUUUCAUGGGUGUCCAAUCUCUUGGUUUGGUGUCAUCUUUCCCUGUUUGUGUUCUUUUAUCCCAUUGUUUUCCACACCUCUGUCACAUCCUGCACAUGUGCUUCCUCCUUGGUCCAGCUCUUGGUCCUGCCUUGCAUGGGAGUUGCUCCCACCUGAGUUCCCCAUUGAUUUACCAGCUGGAUUUUACCAGAUCUGUAAGUGCCAUUCAGGACAGAGCAACACAGGGCAAGCACACAGAUGUCAUGUGACAUAAUCUGGUUUUUGCUUUGUUGAUCCUUUUUCUGACCGUUCCCAUCGUGUUUAUUUCUAAGUUCUGGGAGUAUGAGGUGCUGCUGCAGACUCCUGCUCACAACUAAUUUGGAGCUUCAUUUCCUGGAGAUCAGUGGGGCUGUUUUAUCUUCUGUUUUAUCACUGAUACCAUGAGGUCCUUCUGCAGCUCCUCACAGACAGGUUUAGAUUUGACUACCCUGGGUAGUUCUGAAGCAUCAGCAAACUCAUUCAUCUCCACUGGCGCCAGUUGGCUCAGCGUGAGGGCUGGGGACUCUGGGCAGGAACACCAGCUCCUGAGCUCUGUUUGUGGCAGCACUCAACCCCCAGCCAUGAAACUGGAGAAUUCUUUCUUAAAUCUAUGCAAUUUUAUAUAAUUUCCGUGUAACAAACUAUUUAAUCCCUUUUAAGAUACAACCACAGAGGCAAAGGAUCCUUCUCACAAAGAGGAUGGAGGUGCUUUCUUCAAAUAAAAAGAGGUUUAUUAAGAGAAUGAGAAUGACAUUGUAGUGUGGGUGUUGUACAUCUAUUGCAGCAUUAAGAGAAACAACAGCAAGUACAAAAUCCUGCAGAACCUCUAGAGUUAUCAUCAUCACAGCCUAGCUUGUCCAUGCUACAGUUUGGUGGAUCCAAACUUCAUUCCCAUUUCUAAUGGCAAAAAAUCCAAAGAUUUUCAUCUUUCAAAAGAAAAAAACCCAACCCAAAACAAACAAACAAAAAAAGGCAAAACAAAAAACCCAACUCAAUUUGAUAUAAAUAACUUGCACUGGACAUUUUAAAACUUUCAGAUUUUAAUUACACAUAAAUAAAUAUAUACAGAUUUAGCAGUUCAGUUUGGCCUAGUUCAAGUUCUGCUCCUUGUGCUUUAUUUACUAUUAUUAUAUCUAAUUUUAGAAACUUGUAUGCUGUUAUCUGUAGGUUGUGGAUUUUAUUUAGUCCUGGGUUUAACUUCACCUGCCUUAUCCCCAGCCAGGAGGGCAGCAGUCAGGGGGACUCCCCUCAGUCCUGCCCUGGGACUCAUCAGCUGUGUGGUUGUUCCUGCCUCGUGCCGUGGCUUGGGGCUCCUCAGCCCACGGGAAAAUCCACAGUGAGUCUGAGUUUGAAGCUGUAAACAAAGCCUGGAUCUGCUUUAAAUCCACAGCAGUUCUGCCAGAAAUUUUCCUUGGCCUGGCAUCAGGGCUGGGCUGUGGGUGGGGAAAUGGGAAGGUUUCCUGUGUGUUUGCCUCAAAACCAGCAGAUAAAUCCAGGUAGAGCCAGGAUUCCGUCCCCCUGCCCUUGGCUGCUCCUGCUCCUCCUGCUCUGGGUCUUGCACUGAUGAGGCUUUUGCUCUUUCCUCUCAGUUUUUCAAUUGGAACAAAUUCCUUGAGCACAGAAGGAUUUCACUAUGGGUUUCUUUAAAAGCAAAAUAAAAUCAAAUUGCACAUGACUUGGCUUUCUCCAUCCAUG